CUUUAAAAGAGGACUGAGGCAAUUUGUGGAAGGUAAGACUAUCUGUGGCUACCAGCUAUGAUUGCUAUGCUCUGCUUGCAUGGCUGGAGGCAUGAUGCUUCUGAAUACCAGUUGCUGGAAGCUGCAGGAGGGGAGAAUGAUCUAUUGCACGAAUCCUGCUUGUGGGUUUCCCACAGGCAUCUGGGUGGCCUCUGUGAGAACAGAAUUGGGCCAUUGGCCUGAGCCAGCAGACUCUUCUUAUGUUCUCAAGUAUGCAAGCUAGGGAUAGCGGAAUCUCUUUCAGUUCCUCAUUUUCCCAUUCUUGUCCAUUUCUCCACAUUUCCACAUCAGUUUGCAAUAAUAAUAGUAGUAGUCAUGAUAAUUAAAAAUAUUUUUAAAGUCCUCAUGAAGAUUCACCAUCAUUUUAGAGUAAGCUUGUCCUACUAUGCACAUGUUUAUAUGCAAUUUUGCCUAAUAAACACAAUUUUGCAAAGCAAUUUUCCCAAAUAUAAUGCAUUUCCCUAUGUUAUUUUCAUGAAUACAUACACACACUCACAUUCCCCCUCCAGUAUAUGCCUUUUUGUACACAUUACUUGGCUGGAGAACUGCAUUGCAAAAUUCAGAGAUGUGCGAAUUCACCUGUUUCAAUUCACCUAUUGGUUCAAAAAGUGAAGAUUUCAGUUUGCCUUUAAAUGCAAAUUGACCUGAAUUUCUUCCCCAUCCCUAAUGCCAGCAUAGUGAUUCCACUUGCUCACAUGAAUUGAGCCCUUUUGUAGAAAUAGUACUUUGUGUGCCCUUAUAAUGCCAAACUUGGGCACAAUGGAAAUGUUCAGCUAAGAGAAGCCAUAAACUCGAUGCUGUGUAUAUUUAUUUUUGCAUAGACUGUAUUAAAAUUUAUUUAAACACUUAAAAGGAAAAGGUAAGAAAACACAACGUGCUUUGCAGAAUGAGGAAAUUUGUUUCUCACUAAUACAUCGCAGUUGACAUACGAUGAUGAAGAGCUGAGUUGGGGUGGGCAGCUAUGAAUAGACAUAACCCAUUCCGAACUUGUUCCAGCUCACAGUCCUCCAUCUCAGAAUUAGGUCUGAAAGGUACAUUAGAAAACAAAUCUCCUGGCCUUGGCAAUGGUAUCUGCCCUUUACAGGACCCAGCAAGUGGUAAAUUCCCAUGGCAGGUCUAUAGACACUCAGAAAGUUGGUCACUGAGGUGACUAUUUGAUAGACUACCAUUUCCCCACAACAUGCACCUGAUGUUUGGGGAUCUCAGUCAUUGGCUGACAGUACCCCUGGUUACCCCAGGGUGAGAGAGCUCACUUCCAGCUGGCUUGAGGAGAAUUUUACAGUCCUUUGCUUCCCCAAAUAUACAGGGCAGAAUUGUAGUAAAAUUGAAUCUUUCUGACUAGCUGGUGGAAUAAUAUCAAUGGCUAGCUUACCAAGUGAUAGCCAAACACAUACUGAGAUAAUUUACAGUUUGGUAAAUGAUUGUUUGUAUUCACCCUGCUUUAAGGAAAUUGGGCGGUGGGGGGGGAUAUUGAACAGAGAGAGCAGUCAUAGACGAGUUUCUUUAAGGAAUUGUCAGAACUCCAGUUUAACCAGGUUCUCUUGAAUGUUAUCAGCAUUUUAGUUUUGAAAAAGACUCAGAAACUUCAAUUGGUCCAAAGUUCAUCAGCCAGAUUGCUUACGGGCUGGGUGUCCAUUUAGAUCUCGUAUAACUCCUGUUUUAAAACGGCUACUCUAGUUGUCAGUUUCUGGGCCCAUUUCAAGAUGCUCACAUUGGCUUUUAAAACCCUAAAUAACUCAGGCCCUCAAUACCCAAAUGAUCACCUCAUUCCCUGCCAACCUUCUUGAGUGCCAAGAUUGGCAGAGGGAGGCUUCUCGCUGGCUCCUCCAUCCCCAGAAGCCUGGGGCAUGGUGACCUAGCACAGGGAAUUCUCUAUGGCAGUCCCUAUUUUUAGGACCCACCUUAUUUCUGUGAUUGUAAGUGAUUUUACACUGUUUUUAAUAUUGAAAGAAGAGGGAGGACUGGAUGCAGAUGAGCUACAUUUUCCUAGGUUCUCCUUGGCACACACCAGCAAAGAAAAAAGGAGGGUGGAGUGGAUAUUUUGCUUUUCCCCCUGGGCUUUUGAGAUAGAUAGAUAUAAUUUCAGCUCCAGGUUGAUACUAGUGUACGUCAAGAUAAUUGGAAGGCGAUGCAUCUUUCAGAUUCAUACUGCUUUUCCAAUCCAACCCAGCUUGCUCCCUUUCUGCUCUGAUGUUGGUAAAGCAAUGGCUUGAGGAGGUUUUGGGAGUGGGAGGGGGCACUUCUGAAGUUUGAUCUGAAACACCCUGUGGCCUCUGGGCUGCUCCAUCACCCCGGCACCAUAGGACCGAAGCCUGAAUGUGUCUGCCUUAACUAGCAAUGGAUAUUUAAAAAUCCGGUGGGAAGCUAAUUGUUAGCUUCAAGUGCCAAACAUACGAAAGCAUUGUCUGAAUCAAUGUUCACUGAGGUUAACAUAAUUAUGGGAAAUAUGAGGGGGAAGCAGUUGCUGCCACAUCCAGGGGAGAUACAUAAUAAUUGAAGAGCCCCAGGACAAUUUCAAGAUGACUACAGUAUGUUAAGAACAGUUAAUUUUGAAUCAUUCUCCCCCAACAAAUUACUUGAUGCAGGCUACCUAGUGAGGUUAAAAACAACAACAUCUCCCCUCCCUUCUGAGAUUUUAUGGCUUGAAUUAGAAAGUGAGUUCCAUAAUUUAAUUUCUGAUCUUUGGUCUGAAAUGUUCAGUUAAGCUCAUUCACCAAUGACCCACAAAGGUCUAAUUUAGAAAUAAUGGAAUUACAGCGUUGCAGGGUUGAGGGUAUCAAUAAUACAACAAAGAGAACAAUCAGUAAUUAACCACAGAAAGUUUGCCCAGCAGCUACACAAAAUGAAUUUAGAAGCAUGAGGGGGGAAAUGCAAGAGUCCUCAUAGCUUGGUGAUGUGUUCUUUUAAAGGCAGAAAAAAAAUCUAGGCAGGGAUAAAGGAAGGGAGAUCAAAUAGAUUAUGUGUAUGAGUGGACUUGAGAGGGUUGCGUGUGCUUGAGCGUAUGCACGCGCACACACACAAAUAGAAGGCGAGGUGUGAGUUACCUGGAAUUUCUAUGUUUCAUAAUAUCUGGUCACAGAAAGCACGACUCAGCACUAAUAUUUAAUCUUCAUAUAGAUUCUCUGUGAACAUUGCUCAUCAUCAAAGAUCAUAUCAAAGCUGCAAACAUUAAAGCCUGGUGGAUUCACAUACUUUCCAUAAGGCUGACGUACCUUUCGGAAAGCCAGCCUUCUUCUGUAGUUGCAUUGUAAAUAGCUCUAUGACGACAAGAAAUCUCGAGGAAGAGACCCGACAUGAUGGAGGAGAAAAGUGAAAGUGAUGUUAGUGUCCUUUUUGGGGGGAAGGGAGGAUGCAGCAGGAUCAAAUUUGGGGUGCCAAAUUUAAGUGUUGCACAAGGCGCUGCUGAAAUUGGAGAGCUGAAAGUCCAACUCUUUAGAAAUGUAGGAAGCUGCCUUCUACAGAGUUGGAUUAUUGGACUGUCUAGCUAGUAUCAUCUUCACUGACCAGAGCUGGAUCUAGACACAUCAAAGAAGCGUUUUUGGAAAGCACAUUGUAAACAUUAUACAGUGGAAGCUUGGUUCUCGAACGGCUUAGCUGACAAACAAAGCGACUCCUGAACGCCAAAAACCCAGAAGUAAGUGUUAAGGUUUUUGAACGUUUUUUGGAAGCCGAAUGUCUGAUCGGAAUCCGCACCUUGGUUUUCAAACGGUUUUGGGAGUCAGAUGGACUUCCGGAACAGAUUAAUUUUGAGAACCAAGGUUCCACUGUAUGGGAAAUUGCGUUGGCAAAAAUGAAACUCCAUAGCGCCAUCUGGUGUCACAGUAUUGUAAUGCAUAUACAACACAUAUAAAACGAUUUUUCUUUACCAACCUAGCUGAGUCCCAGAAGUGGUUUUCUAGGGUUUCAGAAAGGGGUGAUGCCACACCUUGAACCUGAGACCUUCUGUAUAUAUUGUAAAGCAGAUGCUGCAUCACAAAGCUAAGGCCUUUUGAUUUGUAUAUCCUUGUGCUAAGCUCCAGUUCUUGGGAUUUCACUGGAAUGGGACAGAACAUUGGGUGCUAGCUUGAAUCAGUAUAUAGAUUCCCCUUUGGGGAUCGAGAUGUCCCUCACGGUCCUCCUGAUUCUGCUUGCUUGUCCUCACAGUGACAUAAUGAACAGUUGGGGAAUUCUGUCAGCCCUCUGUAAGCUUGAAUUGCAAAUGACAGUUAUCUUGGCAUUCCUGGGUUGCUGUGCCUGCAAACAGCCCUUAUGCAGGGAAUUGGUUGUGGCGUGAAAUUUUAGUGGCAGUUUUUUAAGAAGCAGGCCAACCAACUUUAAUAUGUGUUGAAAGUAGGGCUGCUAGGGAAAUUUUCAGCACAGAGGUUUUAUAAAAUUUUAACCAAGUCAAUAGAAUGCAUGCAAGCUGGGAGAUUCUGCAAAUAAAACACCAACAGCAACGGUGAUGGGGUUUGUUUUUUCCCUCAGCCUCUCUUUCCCUCCCUCCCUCUCCCUCCCUCUCUUUCUCUUUGCUGAUGUACAAUAUUAUAUUCUCCAAGGGGAGGCUGAAGUUUGAAGACAUAACAAAGCAAGAAUCCCUUUAGGCUUAAUUAUCUUCCUAUUCUCGUUUAGCCUGCCUUUCCUGUUCCCUCUUAGUGUUAUGGCCACUUCACUUAGUGAUGACAGCACUUGAACAACCCUAUAUUUAAGCAAGGGGUGAUCUGCUAGAGGGAGAGCAGGGCAAGAUGAGUGGCAGUCUCAAGUUCAAGCUACUUUUGUUGUUUUCUUGCCCACUGUGUGAGCUACGUUGUGAUGAUUCAACAGCAUAAUGUUUCAAGUUAUUAUUGCUAUUACCACAGUGUUUUUCCCCAACCAGAACUCACCAGAACUCAGUUCCGGCGCCUCUCAGGUAGGUGCCAUUGUCAUUCUAAGAGAACAAGGGAAGAAGUUCCAGCACUUUCUCCCCUAGAAAAAUCGCACUGAUUAUUACAAUUACAAUUGUUAUUGCAAUUAUUCUUUUGAAGAGUGGAAACAGUAUGUAGUUGUUGUUACAUAACAUGUGAAUAAGCAAAUUCAGAAAUAAUAUUAAUAAUAUUAAAUAGUAUUAACAGCCACCACCACACCUGAAUUAUAGAAGGGGUGUGUGUGUCCAAAAUUACCUUUCCAAAGCCACUUACCAACUUCAGGUGCUCCUGCAGCCGUGGCUGGGGAAACCCAGCCAGAUAGGUGGCCUAUAAAUUAUUAUUAUUAUUAUUAUUAUUAUUAUUAUUAUUAUUAUUAUUAGAGUUCAUUUCUCUACUCCUGACCUUCUGUGCCUCUUUGAUUUUUGUUGGCCUGACCCUUGAUGAUGAUCCUUCAAUUGUGCUAACAAUCACUUGUCAAAAUUAUAGGGUGCUUGUAGCAUUAAUUGUGAGAAUAGGUGUAAAAUGCAAUUGUGGCAGAUAUUAACCCCCAAACUGCUUUUAUGUUAUGUUGUGCAGCAUGUAGGAUUCAGCCCCCUCCCUGCCCCAGUGAAACCCUUUUGUAUCUAUUUUGACAUUCUGGCACUGCAUAUGGUAAGCCUGAGGCACUGCUGAAAAUACCUUCAGGAUACAACCAAGCGAUGUACCAUUGCCUCGCCACUCUGACACCAUUAUGUCAGCAUUAGGUAUUUGCUCAAUGAUGAGUGCUGUUAUGAGAAAUUCCAUAGCACCAAGAGAACGUUGAGAGAUGAUGGAAUGGAAAAGGACCCUUUGAGAGAGAAGCUGGUGGUCUGUUCAGCCAGAAAUCAAAAGCAUAGCAGCUGUAUCUAUAAGUUGCUUCAGAGAUGAGGCACACAGUGAUAUAUUAGAGGCUGAAAUGUUAUUGUUGUGGUUUCAUAAAACAAGGGACCAUUUCAGAUUAUUGUGGCAGAAGUCAAGCCCAAACUCACAGCAAGGUUCCAGAGCCUCCUUUGGAUAUAUGUCAUACUGAAUUGCAAAAAGCAUUCUUCUACCAGCACUAGGAGUGCAUUUUAAGAUUGCUUCUGAUUUCUUUUUAUACAUACUGUCAAAUAGCUAUAGCAUGGUCACUCACACUUCCACAAAUAUUUCUGCAAACAGCUUUGUGUCUUUGAUAUGCCCACAUAAUAUAUUAAGACCACUAGUGGUUAUAGUUGUUCGGCGUAGAACAACUAAUAUCAGCUGGCCAAAGAGAUAGAUGCCCUUGAUGAAUAGUAAAGUAGAAUCUGAAACAUGGAAGGAAGGGGCAGGAAAAUGCCUAAAAUAUCUUUCUUCAUGGCACCUCUGGCAGAGGUGCAACCAUGUCAUUCUAAGAUGCUUCCACUCUUGAGCUGGUGAGGUUCAGACUUCAGCCGCACCUGAUGCCAGUCUGGGUCCUGACUAUCCCCAAAGAAAAAAAAACAAAUGUGGUGUAGAGGGACAGAGAGGAAGUGGUUCCUGUCAGGGAAGCUGAGGAGAAAGCAUUUGAUUAUUAUUAUCUAUUUCAUGAAAUUUUUAGACCGUUUGAUUGCUUUUUUAAAAACCCUCAAAGCAGUUUGUUUUUCUUUUGAAUUGUUGAAUUUUGCGUGUCCCCCCCCCAAUUUUGUGCUUGGGGGAACAACCCCUCUGCCCCCUUUUGCUACGCCACUGAAUCGGAGGCCCUGAUUGGAAGGAAAUGCCUUGCUGGCAGGCUGGGCAUUAGCUGUUGCCCUGACUGGCCUACCAGUGAGGUUUUAAAAGGCCAUAGUAUUAGGCCAGGGAGGGGAGGCAUUGUGACUGGGACUGCAAUUCCUAAAGAAGCCCAACUCCUGUAGCAAUCUGUGAGCUCAGCACGUCUUGAAGAACAGUAGAAUGAAACACCCCUCCAGGAGGGUUAUGAGAAACUUAAACUAUUGGACAGUGUGAGUGAGGAAGACUGAACUGAACUGGGGACUGAGAGAUUUCCAGGUUUAGGGAAAGCGCUUCCUGAUACGCAUGAGCAUUGACGUUGAAGGUAAUCUUGCUAAGGACCGGAUUGGAUAGGAGAAAAUUGCACAACAAAGGACACCUCAGAAUAUGAUUCUCCUGCCAGAGGGUGGCAAGGGAGUCACACCUGGGCCUCUUAACCAAUCACAGCACGUUAUAAGAUGAUUUGCUGUGUCCCUUGCAGGAAUUGAGCAUGUACUUCAGAGGAAAUGCAAACAAGGGUGCUUAAUUUAAUAAGGCAUAAUAUGCCGGCUGGAGGAAAUCCAAUACCCACAAGGGAUAAUUAAUGGCCAAAUUAGAAGUGCUACCUGCAUUAGAUAUGGCAUUGAUUCUGGGGGAUUAAUUAGGCAUGUGCAUACAUGGUUAAUAAAGCAUGUUGGUUACUGCGGGAGAAUUUCUCACUAUAGCAGCCAUUCUGGGGAGGACCUCUCAUGGGCUUCCUCUAAAUAACUGAUACUAGGCUUCAUCUUAACUCAGGGGUCAGCAACCUUUUUCAGCUGUGGGUCGGUCCACCAUCCCUCAGUCCAUGUGGUGGGCUGGACUAUAUUUUGAAAAAAAAUAUGAACAAAUUCCUAUGCCCCACAAAUAACCCAGAGAUGCAUUUUUAAUAAAAGGACACAUUCUACUUAUGUAAAAACAUGCUGAUUCCCAGACCAUCCGUGGGCCGGAUUAAGAAGGCGAAUGGGCUGCAUCCGGCCCCCAGGCCUUAGGUUGCCUACCCCUGGCUUAACGUAUCCAUGGCUUCAGCAUCCUUUGUUUACUGGCACAAAUGCCAUGCUCUGCUCAGAGCAGCAUCCCAAACAGACACACAGUCUUGAGGCAUAUGCAGAGUUUUAGUUCAACCAGCCUUCUUGUUAACAGCCCUUAGUCUCUUGACCUGCAGAGCCUCAUCCAGUAUUGAACAUAUCAGUUUCCUCCUACAGAAAUUCCAGAAGUCCUGUCUCCUGCUUGUCCCUUAAAAAAUACGGGGGGGGGGGGAAUAUGCCGUGUCUUCCGUGUGGUUAAUGCACACAUGCCAAGGUGCAUUAAAGUCUCUAGCCUAAUUUGUUUUACUAGUAGGUUUAGAGACAUUUAGAACAAGUUUGUUCAAGGGGAGAUGCUAUGAAGCAGCAGUUCGCAUCAGGAAGAGCAUACAUCACACAUAAAAAUAGCAUGCAGGAGACACACAUUUAACGAGAUGGGAAACUUUUGUAAAGGUCACCAAAACCCAUUUCUCAUACUGAAUAAGUGGUUGGGUUGGGAUGCCAGAAACAAACCUCUGUGGGUUUGCGGUGGAUCAGUGAGCUGUAAAUACAUUCAAACAAGUCAUGUUGGUGCUUGUGUGCUGCCAAUUUAUGACAGCUAUCUGUGCGAUUGGCAUGGGCAAGUGUGCAUAUGUUGGUUAGCAGCACUGCUAGACACAUGCUCACUUUGAUGUUUGUGAGAAUGAUUCCAACAUGACUGUUUCCUCCAAUCAGGAUUAGGAAAGUGUUGUGUGCUCCUCACUACUCUGUGGGGUAGGAAGCUUCAGUUCAGCCUUUUUCUCAAUCAGAUUUUUAUUGUUAUUUGGUAACUGGAGUAUUGCUGACUUGUAAUGUUUCUGUAGUAACAAUUUAUUUGCAAGUAGACAAGUUGAAGAGGUGAGCUCUCAGGCAGUGCUGGUUUUGAAAGAUGUGUUGGUUUCACCAAAAGGAAACAGUAUGAACCAGGGUCACCCACACAUAUAAGCUCCACACAUAAUACUGUAUCUUGCCAACCAGUUGCAAGACUCAGACUUUUAUUUCAUUCAGUGGCUUAUAUUACUUCUUCAUUGUUGGCAUAUUUUGUUACUAUAAUUUCAGCAUGAAAUGUUUCCUAUUCAUAGAUACUGAUUAAUAUGGCCUUUUGUUGAGGUGACAAUAGGGCACCUCAACAUUUCUGAAAAGGAUAUUCUGAAACAGCAGAAAGCUAAUCUAAUUCUUCAGAACCUAUCUUUUAGGUGCCCUCCUUGAUAGCUAAUUUGCAGUUAGCCAUAUUAGAACAGGGAAAUUUGAGCAAAUUUGUGGCACUGUUAUAUGCUCUUUAUUGAUGAACCAGAGGAGAUGGGGGGAGUGAGAGAGAAGGAGACAAUUUGAGGCACUCAGGAGCAAGAGAUUAGCACCAGAAGUUUCAAAAAGAAUUCAUCUUUUCUGUUCUUUAGAUAUGUCUGAGCAGUUCUGACUUUUUGGUCAUAGCAUUCCCUGGUCACAGCUGUGUACUAAACAGUAAACUUUAUAGUACAAUCCUAUGCAUGUCUACUCAGAAGUAGCGGAGAAAUACCCCCCCCCUUUAUAUCUGGCUAGAAUAAGAGGAGGGGUGUCUCUCUCCUAGGCUCUCUUGACUAAGAGGGAUUCCUAUCGGCCACUGAAAGAGUGAGCAGGAGGCACACUAGUGGGUUCCCUGCCAAUGGGAUCCAGAGGAAAGCCUAGAAAUGGGGUGUUCUGAGGGCAGGGAGGGGGGUGGGUUCCUCUAGAUCCUGAGUGGGGGAAAUUGCUGUUGUGUGAUUGCAUCCAGCCCAAUCCAGAUCUGAUUGCUGUGCUAGACUGUAUCACUGUCUCCCUCUUCCUCCACAGCUCUUGUGAGAAGCAGGACUGUGGAUGUGGUUCUGUUGCUCUGCAGUUUGGCUGGUGCAGGAUGUAAGUUCAGAUGGUGCCCUAAGUCACAUUUAGCUUUUAUCCUGUGAACCACCAUGAGACCUGUGGGUAUAGGGCAAUAUAUAAAUUCAAAUAAUAAAAAUAAUAGCUUCAACAGCACUUAUUCCCAGUUGGCUAGAGCAUGGUGCUGAUAAUGCCAAGGUUGCAGAUUUGAUCCCCAUAUGGGACAGCUGCAUCCCCCUGUAGAUGAUCCUCAAGGUCCCUUCCAACUCUAUGAUUCUGUGAGUGCUAAAAGUUACAGGAUAAUAGCCAUACUGUCCUUUCUCAAAUCCUGUAUCUUCCUAUAUACAUAAAAAUUCAAGGCUGUCAUCACUCUGCACCCAGUGCAGGAUGUAUUUUCCAUGUAUAGCAACUGACUUCUUUAAAUUAAAAAAAGUGGAAACUCGGUGUAACAUUUUAAAAUAUUCACUGCUUUAGUUCUAUUGCAUUUUUAUUAGAUAUUGCGACCCUUCCCCAACUAAAGAAACCAACCAACAAGCUUCAGAUAACUAAUUCCUGUGAUACUGGAAGAGAUGAAUGUAACCUAUCUCCUAGCUGUGAAGCGGGAUGAUCCAUCCAUCUGCUACCCACAGAUCAACAGUGCAAUCGAGGUCAGGUUAUGCUACAAGCAGAGAUACCAUCUGCAAAGAAGCCUGAGGAGCAAGAGCUCCAGAUGAUUCAAAGAAGCCAGCCAAGCCACAUGUUACAGGAGAAGGCAAAAUAACAGUUUGUGUAUAUGUAUGGAAAUACAUCCCUGCUCCCAUGUAAGCAGAGAUUUAACUUUGCUCAUUGCAUUCCACAAGGCUGUGAGUUUGUGGGGGGAGCAUUAAAUGUGUUGUGUGGAAUUCAGCUUCCCAACUAUCUUACAGAUCAUUCUAACAGUACAAGGAGUGUGUAUGAGCAAUGUCUGUCGAAAUCUCAAAUCCAGGGCGGUGGAUGAAUAAGGCUUCCAAUAAUAAAAGGAGUUGUGUAGCUUUGGUGCAGAACUCUUCACCCUUCUCCACGAUGAACAAAGCCAGGAAAAUGGCAGUCCUGUGCCAAAUGUUAUGUAAAUUUGCUCUAUGUGCAUAAUUGAUAAAGGUCACAGGAUCCAGCUUUUCUUGGUGUGGAAUUUUAAUUGUCACGAGUCCAAGGCACAGCCCUGUAGAAACUGAUUUCUGAUUUUGUAGCCUUGAUCACUUUCAGAGAGAAAGACUGACACACCUUUGGCUUUCCUGCCAUUUGAGGGCUAGUUUUGUUCUGCACGAUAUGCAGAGAAUAAGCCAAAUGAUCUAUUCAUCCAAUGCAACUGACCUAUUUUGUUCUCACUUACAUUUAAUAUCUAUUUUCCUGCUGUUUGGAGCUGUCUCUUUUGUGAUCGGAGCCCGCCCAGCCAUUAAGUUGUGAACUGCCUUGAAAUUUAUGGGUGGAGGGCGGUAUACUACUACUACUAAUAUGUGGGGUGAGGCCGCUACCUCAGGUGGCAGAAGCCCCACAGAUAGCACUUCCACCAGAGAUUUUGGGCAAAAUUGCAUCUAUUUGGGGUGAGAUCUUACCCAAAACGUAUGUGAUCUUGCUUGAAAUUGGCACUGCCUGGCAGGGUGUGUAGCAGUGGCAGAGCAGGUGAUGGCAGUGGUGGCAGCAGCAGGUAUCGUGGUGGUAGGAGCAGCAGGGUACCACUUUGUGUUUCACUGCAAGCUGUGAAAUGAUAUGUGCCACCACUGUUUGCUAUACACAGUGAUGCUCCCCAGUAAGAGAACAUACAGAUUGGUUUUGCAUGAUCCUGCAUAAUAUUACAGAAUUUGUCUCUCUGAAAACUAAAUGAACUCAGCCAGCACUGGGAAGCUGUAGGGUUUUAUUGUCUUUGCAUCUUAUAUGGAUCACUGGCACUUUGCCACCAGUUUGACUCUAAGUGAAGGUCUUCCAAAGUCCCUGAAAUUCUUGGUCUUUCUUCCACCCAUCUCCAGAUUCUGCCCCCUUUCCCCUGUACUUUGGGUUUGCAUGUCAUUAUUAGCUUGUGCUUAUCUGAAACACAGGGCAAAUAAUGUGUGUAUUAUUUUAAACAUUGGACAUUAUAUGAUUUGACUUGUCUCCAAGGCUUUCACUUCUCCUUCCCAGAUCUAGUAUUCAUAAGAGUGCCCAUUUGACAUAAAGGUUAGUAGACUUGAGCCCUUGUUAGGCAUUCAAGGCAAAAAAAGACAGGGAUUAGGAUGCAUACAAAAGUCUUGGCCCAAAUAUCCCCGCACAGGCUGAUUCCACUUCAGACCUUCCCAUGUUGAGGUGGUAAAAUCUGAAGGAGAUUCCAUGAGUAUUUAGGAGACCACAGAAUCAUCUCCGCAGUCAAGAACCUCAAUCAUGGGAAGAAUUCUUAGCACAUUAGGUUAAAUAAAAAAGGACAACCUUAUUUCAGGGACCAACUACAGAUACAUGCUACAUGCAAAUGUGUGUGGGGAAUUUUUUUCUGAUUCUGUUAUGGAACAGCAACUUCAGGAAGGGUCAGUUUUCAGGGGUGAGGCAGGAGAUGUUUAACCCAUUCCACCCCUCCUAUUUUUCUGCUGCAGCCCACUAUAUAUAUAUAUAAAAUGACAUUCUAUCCUUGUGUGGUUUUUGUUUUUUUAAAAAAGGCUGAUAAUAAUAAUAAUAAUAAUAAUAAUAAUAAUAAUAAUAAUUUAUUAUUUAUACCCCGCCCAUCUGGCUGGGUUUCUCCAGCCACUCUGGGCGGCUUCCAAAAGAAUAUUAAAAUACUGUGAUACAUCAAACAUUAAAAGCUUCCCUAAACAUCUGGGGAAACCUGAAGCCCAAGGUUAUGCCCUAGUCUUCUGAGCAAACCCUUACAGAAUUAUAGAUGCUUUUUCUUCUACUUCAUUGGGAUUUAACUUAUUUGGGACAACACUGAAUUUCAAAUAAAAGACUAAUGAGAAAAUUAAUUACAAGAACCACCAAUCUGAGUUAUUAUACAAGCCUUGCAGCAUUUCAGGAUUUUGCAUUGUGUUUUUAAAACGGUUCCCACCCGCAAAAUUAAUGAAUGUUAGAAUGAUGUUGGAUUGAAGUUAAGUGGUCUCUAGCUGUAAUGGUAUAAAAGAAUAUGAAAAAAUUGGAUUUUUAACAGGUAAAAAUUUAAUGCUAUAAUAUAUUAAGAUAAAGAUCAGGAUAAAAUAAGGAGGGAAAGGUAUUGCUGAAUUAAUAAAUUGAACUGGAAUACAAAAAAGGGAGGUAUGAGGAGGUCCAGGAAACAAGCAAAUGAAAGAUAAGCUAUGAAAAGAUGGAAUUGUUUUUAACUGUUUUUUAUUUUUUAUUUUUUCUUUUUUCUUUUUCAUUAUGUAAUAUUGUGAAAACUUUAAUAAAUAUUUAUUAAAAAAAAAAAAGUUUCCCACCCUCCCCCCCACCCGCAUAUAAAUACAACCAACAGGCACCUUUGGCUGAAGCAAGCAGCUUAUUGAAGCAAUUCAAAUGGAGCUGUUUUUUUUAAUGCAUUUCUCUAUUUCCCUUCCCUGCUUUGCUGCCUUUCUGUGGGACACUGUGCAGACUCACUAAUGUGCUGGCAUUACCAUAAAGGGGAAGGAGGAAAGCAGGCUGGAGAACAUACAUAGUGACACCUUUCUGCAGUCCUUGACAGAAGCUCUAGUGAGAGUCACCACUACCAUCACAGUUCUCCUCCUCCAUAGUCCAUAUAACCACAUGACUGUCCAUCUUUUCUUUCUAACUAGGUUGUGGUAACUUUCCCCAUUCUCUGCACCUUAGCCAUCCCUCCCUGAGGAGAGGGGAAAAAAACAUAGCCAAGAGUAAAGAGCAUGCCCUCACGUUGUGCUUUUUCAGCCACAGAUUUCAAAACAAUUUACAGAAAAUGGAUCGGUGUGACUAACUCAUGGUGGCAUUUGACCUACAUAUUGCAUCACUUGCUCUGAAGUUGAAGAGGCAAGCGAGCCAGCCAACUGGAGAGAGGGGCGUUUGCUAGUCACCUCCAACCAUGAGGUCUCUGGUGGUAUCCUGCCUUUCUUCCCAAAGGGACUCAAGGCAUCUUAUGAUAUUGCUUUUUUUAAAUUUUUUUUAAAGAACCCUUCUGGUUUCCAUCCCAUCAACUCGCCUUCAAUGAAUGAGUUGAAGAGCAGGAAAAGGUAAAAGAUGACCAGAUCCCUUUUGGAUCAGAGUCCAGAGGAGGGAGAAGAACUCAGCAUUUGCUGAGUUUUCUUUUUAAAAGUGAGAAUCUUAAGCCUUGACUUAGUAGAAUUAGUUCUCUUUUUCCACACGUAUAUAACCCCCCCCCCCAUUUCACACAGAUUUCAGUAUCUUGGUGUCAGAUUGCGAGGGCCAAGUGACCCAUUACUGUACAUGUGGAAUCAAUAACUGAAUCUCCCCAUAUAAUUUUCUUCCAAACGCAGUUGUGUUGGGGCUCACCUUUUUGGCUUAGGACUGUUGGGUGGAAGUAGGAGGAACAAGGUCUACUUCUUUCUUCUGAACCAUGAAUCUGAUCUGAAUCAGUGGUCCCUGCAGUUAUGUUUACAAGGAAAGAAAUUGCACUGGAAAAUCCAGUGACUGAUAUUUCAUAUAAACACCUGGUUAGGCCUUCAGCCUCUCUGCCUCACAAAACGGGAAAGACACUACAGUAUAUUAAAAAUACAGCCCUAUACAUGUCUACACAAAAGUAAAUCUCGCUGGGUUUUAUGUGCAGAGGUUUACAACCUUUGGGAGCAAUCCUAUGCACAAGAAGCUGAAUUAAAACAGGUUGGUGUAAAUUAACUUGGUUACACCAGGUAGAAACCCCAUUCAGCAAUGGGGUUACUAUUGCUUCUGUACCUAAGCCUGGUAAAUAAGUUUUUUAAACUGUGUUUCUAUGGUUGGUUGGCAGGCAAAGUGACUGAGCUGAACAGGGUUCAGAUUCAGCCUAAAUCCUCCCUCUCUGUGUAUCUUUCUCCUCCCCGCCUACCUGGUUUGGUCCUGUAAGGUGCUGCUUAUGCACAAAGGGAAGCCAGCUGCUCAAGAAGGAGCAGCAAGCAUCACCAUGCAGGAUGGGACCCUCCAGUUUACCUGCUGGCAAGUGGGAGGGCCCAAUCCUAUGCAGUGCUGCUCCUCUAGAAGCAGCUUCAGGGGGCAAAAAGAAGAAAAGAUCUGACAGAAGGAGAGGUCAAGAAGGAAAUAUAUGCACCCACACUCUCCCGUUAUCUUCUUCUGUAAAGAUGCAGCUGCCAGGUAGGUAUACCACCCUACUUUUUCAAGCCCCAAACUGGGAUGUGCAUCUUCUGGGACAUGCUCCCAGGUGAGUCACGUGGCCUGUGCCUUACCCUUGUCCCAGAAAAAGCACGUUUGCAGCACCCAAAAUGGCCGCCAAGAUCUUGCACAAAGAAACAGGAUGUCCCUUUUUCCCUGAGGAACUUGGAAGGUAUGGGCAAGUCCUUCCUUUUUUGUGGUUUCUCCUUCUUCCUGUCAUGCCCCCUGGACAACUCUCUUUUUUUAAUAAUAAUUUUUUAUUAAUUUUCAACUCAAAUAUACAAUUAUAUCCAAUUUUUAACAAAUUAAUCCUUUUUUUGACUUCCUUCGGCUGCUCUGACAAUCAUCCAUAUUAAUCUCUCUAUUUCGCAUUCCUUAUUUUUGUAUUGCCAUUUUCUUCCCUCCCACUUCUAUUUCUUUUAAACAAUACAUCUUAUAACUCACAGUGCUUCUUGAAACCCCACUAGCGUUGUUUGCACAUCACAUAUACUUUUCAGAUAAUCCACAAAUUUCCCCCAGUCAUCAAUAAUUUUUUGGUCUCGGAGAUAUCUAAUUUUUCCAGUUAGUUUGUCCAACUCUGCAUAGUCUGUCAAUUUCACUCUCCAUUCUUCUAUCGUCGGUAAUUCCUCCUGCUUCCAUGCCCCCUGGACCACUCUUGGUCAACCAACCCACAGCAACCCGGGCCUGUCUCAAGCCAAAUUGACUGCAGUCCAGAUUUCAUCAUAUCAGCCUGAUUUAAUUCAGGCCCCGGACACACCCAGUGCCCAGCUUGAGUUUUUACAGCGCAGUUUUUGCAAAUAUUUUAGGAAGUGGAGAGAUCACACAGAAAUUAGUACUGUUUCUGAGGCGCCCAGGAGUCAACUCAUGUGGAGCACUGAAGAUCAAAACCAGCACUCUGAAUUGUGCCUGGAAGUCAGCUGGGAGCCGGUGGAGGUUUAUAAGCACAUGUGUAUUUAACCCCCAUUAGAAUCCUUGCAAGCUGCAUUUUGUACUGGUUGUAGCUUCGAAAAAAAUAUUCAGGGAUAGCUCUUCAUAGAUCAAUUCGCAGUAAUUGAGCUAAAGAAUUCGCCAAAGCAUGUAUGAGUUGCCAGAUCUUGAUCCUCAAGGAUAUUGUUCUCUGUCAGCCUACAGACAAUCUUGUUUCAUCCACAAAGCUCACCAGGUGUUCCUAGGCCAGGGAAACUGGGAUAAAAAUGUAAUAAAGAAAUAAGAUGCAUUAAAAAAAAAAAAUGCAAUUCCAGGUUUAACUGAAAUUGUUAGACUUUGCGGACUUUACAAAGUCCAGUUCCCCACCCCUUGAAUUUGAGGGCAGAGGCUAUUUUUCCACCAGCUGCUACAUAUACAGAAGCACAUGGAAAACCUCCAUGUGCCCAUGACACCGCUUUCCCAAGCAGAGAGGAAUUCCAGCAUUUGGGUGGAUCCUCAUUUGAAUAUUUGGGCAUGAUUGAUUCAUACUUUUUAUCUGAAUUUUGUUCCUGUUCCACUUUUAAUACAAUUAUUCAUGUGCUCAGUCCUAGGGAGCUGUGCAGUUCUGGCUUCCUUAUCUUAAUAAUGGUACAGUAGAACUGCAAAUAGCUCAGGAAAGGCAGUGAAAUGAUUAUGUAUAUGCUAAGGUGAGAGCAGAAGCCCUGCUUUAAAAGAUUCGACUUCAAAAGAAGAGCUCUCUCUCUCUGUGUGCGUGUGUGUUCCUGUGUGUGUAGUAUGGUUAAAUUCUAUAAAACAGGGAACUGCUCAUAUAUUUGAAGUAGGAGAUGUUUGAAGAGGAAAAAGGAAGGUCUAGAAUACUGCAUUAAAUAAUUUAAAAAUCCAUCACGUGAAGACCUGUACUGUAUUCUGAGAUAGGAAUGAAGUUGAUUUGGUUUUUGCAAUGGCACCAUUUGUCUCCAGGAACUAUAUUUAAACUGAAGCCGCACAUCUACAUCUGCAUGAUGUUGCUUGGUUGUAAGCUUGAGGGUGGGAGCUAUGGCUCUUCUUUAAAAAAUAAAUUAAAAAAUAUAUAAAAAAUCUGGGAGACAAUAUUUGUUUGAAAAGCAGGACAAAAAUGUGAUCCAAAUAUAUAAGAAUUUGGCUAAUGUGGCGAAUCAACUGGUAAGAUUGUAGGUGGACAAACUUGUUUUUGAAUAGUCCCUGUAUUGUAUUUGAUGGAACUCUUAAUUGUAAUACAAUGAAAUGCAACAUAUAAGCAAUAAAUUAAGCAACAAGAAGACCAUCGAAAACCAUACAGCUGUGGUUUUCAACCAGUGUGCCGUGGCACCCUGGGGUGCCUUGAAUGAUGGUCAGGGGUGUCACAGGCAACACUGGCCUCUGUCCCUCUUUCCUUCCCUCCCUCCUCUGAUGCAUCUCUGCCUCCCAAAGGCUUGCACAGCUGUUUGUUGCAGCAGCCCUGGCUACAAGCUCCUCCGGUGAAUGGUGCCUCUGGGGCUGGCCAGGGGUGCUCCCCAGGCCCCUGUGGAGCAGUGUGAGGAGGCACCUCUCUUUGGGGCAGGCAGCACAGAGACCGGGGUGGCAGCUACAGCUGCCCAGAGGACUCCCAAGGAGAGGAGAAAGAGAGGAGGCUGAGGGAACACUCAAGGGAAGGUGUUUGAAAAGGGGUGAGAGGCUGCCAUCUCUGCAGGCAAGGGGUGACAUAACUGGGCUCCUGAGCCCCACAGGGAUGCCACAGAAAGAAUGUAGUUGGUCAAGGGAGCUGUAAACCUAAAAAGGUUGAAAACCUCUGCCAUGUAGCAUCUAGCACAAGGCAUUACAAUUGCUAAAGGAGGUAGAAAAAUCAAAACCCUGAACAAUUUUCCAGCGGCCUAUGGAGAAAAAGUGUUUGGGACCCCCGGUAUUAAAGUACGGUAUAUGAAAUUUCUGGCAAAUGUGUUUCCCCACCUUUCAAGCAGGUUUUGAUGUCCAAAUUUCAGCAUCCUUCUUCUGGUGGAAACACUUUCUUUGGAUACCACCCUAGGCUCUCAGGCAGUAACUAAAUGUUAAGCAGAGGCAUAGUUUGAAUGGGGGGAAAGCAAGCAAUAUCAAACAUGCUAGAACACAAUCCAAGAAACAGGCAGAGGUCUCUUUUAAGCCCCUGUUUCUCUCCAUGCAAUAGAUGUUUUGGCAAAGCACAACUUACUGCCCUCAUGGUUUGUAUGCAGGAGCAACCAGUUAAGGGACAUGUUAGAAGUCCCACCCAACCUCUUUUGCUCUUCACACUUUGCCCAUGACUGCGGCUUGGGAAGAAAGUAGCUGAAAGGCCUAAUGGUGUGAGGGGUGGAGGGCUGAGGGGGGGGGGUUCCUUGAGAUAAAGGGAUAUUUGGUGGCUGGAUAGGAAUGCUUUGGGGCAGGAUUUAUCCCUAAUCUAUAUUUUUCCAUCUGUAUGCCGCUGCCUGUUUGUCUCCUCAGAGCUACCCACUCUCCAGCUUCAGACAUUUCAGUGUUGACAAUUGAUUUGCUUUUCGAAAAGUGCAUGUCCUUGACUAAUGAACUUUGCAUUCUGGGAGAGUGUGCAGGGACUGUUCUCCAGGGCUCAAUUAGUCAUUUCAGAUGCACACUGAUGACUGUAUUGUGUGAAACUUCAGGGCCCUACAAGGAAUUUCCCUUCAAUAGAAAUCUUUGGAUGUAAAUCUUAAGUUAACUGCUUUUUAAAAACAAAACAAAAGAAACAAAACAAGUGAUUGGGGGAUAUUCUUUUAAUCUACAUUUUAGAUUUUCAGAAAUAAAACUCCAUCUGCGUUAUGUGCUUAUUAUUUAGCAUUUUGCAUCCUCCUGCUGACAGGCUUUCUGUGGUACUGAUGACAAGGGUCUCUACAGCGGCAAGAUAAUCUGCUGCUCUAUUUUCUCCAGUCCUGUUCAGGGAAAAUGCAGUCACCUCCUCAUGUGUCUGAUGAUUGUAUUCAAAAGUUAGAAUGAGAGAAGUUCAGAAAUAUUCAAACUUUUCAGAGUUUGCUUGCUGCUAUUUUCCUUUCCUUUUAUUUAUUUUAAUAAAGAAAGAAAUAGGCAGAGGGACAAGUGUAAUGCCGCCUCUGGCUUUGCAUCACAAAACACUUGCUAGAGUUGGAAGGACAAACCCACUUUCAACUCCAGUUGGCUAUGAUGUAAACUCCUCCUCUCCUUUCUGGAGGAAAGGAUUUUCCUGGGCAAUUGCUGUGAGCCAAAGAUGGAGAGGAGAGGUAGGAUAGUUGCCACCCCUUUGGGUGGAAGUAUCUUGAUCCUAUUUGGCAGGCAUAUAAACACACAGAGAGACACACAAAACGUUGAUAUGUUUCCUGCCUUCUACCCGUUCCCUCCAUAAUUGUCUGUGUAGAUAGCAAACAAUGUUGAAUGUCUUGGAAGUUGGUAUUAUUUUAUAAAAUGAACCAGAUCCAUUAUGAGGUUAAAAAUUCUAUUGAACAUUCUUAAGGUUAAAAAGAGUAAGCUGUUAUGGUCAGCUUACAAAGAAACUGAUUCAAAAGACCGUGUGGGUCAGACUGUUGUACAAUAAUUAAUAUUGCAUAAGACAGUUUUGAGCAAUAAGCAGUUGUGGGAAGUGGAGGUGAUCAGGAUCAGGUUUUCAAUGGAUGGGUGAAAGAGUUUUACACUUUUCCUCUGCAGCAGUUGGGGUGUGUGCCUCCCCCCUGGCUGCUAUUUGCAUUGGGAAGGAAACUCUCAUACAUGGGGCACAACAGUGUAAUUGAAGGAUGCACUUAUGUUGUAUUGAUGCAGGGGUUCCCCCACCCAGCCGAAGCUCACCAGAACUGAGUUCCAGCACCUCUUUUGUGUGUUCCAGCACCUCUUUUGUGCAUACCUCUGUAGCCCAACAACUUGGGCUGGAAGUUGUUCCCCACUCUCCAAAAAAAGCUGUACUUGUAAUUAGCAAAUCUUUAAAGUAAGCUGGUUGAUUGGAUAACUGAUGAAGCUAUUCUUACUGAAGUGUAAGCAGGACUUAGAAACGGCAGAUCCACUACGGACCAUUGCUGUGUGCUAGCCCAUUUUAUAGUUUCCUUUGUGACAUCUAUUGUCGGACAUCCAUUGUAACUGACUGCCUUGGAAACUGAAUUGAGUGUUCUGGAAACUGAAGGACCCCUUUUAACUAAGCUUUCUAUGUUUGUAUCCUACUCUUUAUCUAAGGUGAUCAGAGUGGUGUGUUAUCUUCACAACAACCACACCAUACAUCCCCACAAUACAUCAAAAGCACAUUUAUACCACUUUAGAAGUCAAGGUUUCCCCCAAAGAAUCCUGGAAACUGUAGCUCCCACAGAGCUACAAUUAUCAGCUCCCUUCCUAAACUAUGGCACCCAGGAUUCCUUGAGGGGAAAGCAUGUGAUUUAAAGGCACUUUAAUUGCAUGCUAUGGAUUUGACCCAAAUAAGAAAGGUUUGUGGUCCAAAGUGCAGCAGUGAGCUUUAGAGUGAAGUAGGGAAGGCUACAUUCCCCACAAACCAACCCUAACUGACCUAUUCACACACACAGACACCCAUUUCUAGGAAUCCUUGGAAGCUGAAUCCUUGGAAGAUUUGCUUUCCCUCCCGUAAAGUUAUAGCCAAAUCAAAGGAUGAUGAACUAUGAUUAAAGCAAACUCUCUUUCUAACGGGUAAUACCAUGGGACCACUGAAAUCUCUUUUAACAGCAGUCUCUCUUAUCUGUAGGAACAUACUGUGCUUUAACCAGAAAGAUGCUGUUUUUCUCUCCUAAAUGGAAAGAAAAGCCUCUCUAGUCUUUUUGCCAAUCCCCAUAACACACUCAACACUCUCCAGAGGUCCUGUACAGCCUAGGAAAUAUUUUCAUGUCUAACAAUAUAUAUGUGUGUGUAUGUGUUUGUUUGUGUGUGUUGUGCAUCAGGAUAUUAGCAGAUUUUCUUUUCUUUUCCUUUUGAUUUCGUGUCCUGAAGUAAACAAGAACUGUUGAACUUCCAGACUGAGAUUAUUAAAGAAAAAAGCCAAAGGGGAUUUUGCUGCGUGAUUAAAAUUAAUGGGAAUUGGGCCUUUUCAUCCCCCUUUGGUGGUCUUAAAAAUCACAACGGUGUGCCUCACAGUGCAGUUUCAUUGGGAAGCAUCCCAAAGGGCUGUACAAUAACAAUGAAAUUAAAGGUUAAUCUGUCUUUCAGAGUCAAAGUAGUUAAAAUGGGUAAAAGCUGUUCCCUUUAAGCAGAGCUGGGCAGAAUAGAUAAUUCAGCACAUCUAUCCAAUACAUUAAUUAUCCACAAAUUUUUGGAGCAGACGGAAGUUGUCUUAAAAACAGAGGAAGAAGCCAGUGCAGUUCAGAUAUUCAGAAAUCUCAUGCCCUUCACAUGUAAGGGUAUUUGUGUCAUGCUCCUGUCUUUGCCCUCAGACUUGAUGCUUUAGUCUCCUGUGAAUAGAAGCUGUGUUCAAGUAUUUGCAUGUAUAGAAGGGUUAAACCGGGGACAGGAUAUGCUCACAACUUCCCCUCUUUAGAUCUUUGCAUAUUUAACACAAAGGAGUCUGAAGCAUGUUUUUUAAAAAUAAAAAAGCAUUUGAUUGGGUGCACAUGGAAACCUCCCCUUGAGAGUGAACCCUGAAUUAUUACAGUGUCCAAUCAGGGGGACCGUUUCUAAGUGCAUUCAAUUGAAAACACUUUUUAAAACCCUUCACACCUCAUGCUAAUCACACAGAGAUCUAGAUUGCAGCCUGUAUGCUGCCUGGGGAUGUUGUGAGGUGGGGUCCAUGUGCGCACACUUGCGCCCAUCUCUAUGUUAACCCUUCAAAUGCUUGAACGCAGUACAGUAUCUGCAUACUCAAAAUUGGUGUGUGUGGGUUCUAUACUUGCUAAUCUGGGACCCUGCGGCCUUCCCAGUCAUGUGUGGAAUGACUUCAUAAAUACAACCGGCAUUAUUCUGUGCCUCUUAUGGAGAGGGAGGUGGAAUUCAACACAGGACAGCUGCCGCAUAUGUCCUAUAAUAUCAAUUACCCUAUGUAGGGCUAUUUUCCUUUAUUUUAUUAUUUAUUCAUUUAUUGUUUUUAUAUCCCUCAUUUCUCUUAGGUGCUCACUGUCAGAGACAUUCCCUUCCUGACAAGUGGCGAAGCGGCAGACACAGAUGAAGAAGAGAGAGAAUUCCUAAGGGAGGGGAGAGAAGCAUUGAGCAGCGGUAAUUUGACCCCUGUACACAGAGAGAAUGAGAGGGAGUCACAGGGUGCAGAAAUGUAACUUGCUAGCUCUGAUAAUGACACAACGGAAGGAGAGGAGCGAAUCGGGGAGGGGGGUAAAAUCUCCGAGGACUCAUAGAUUAAUGCGGCUAGCAGAAAAGCGUAUGCCUGGGAGAAAGAGAAGGUGGGGGCUUUCCUGUUGGGGCUGGAAGAGGAAGAGCCCAGUUUUGGCAACUGGAUCAUCAAGCGAGG
Non-coding RNA from Podarcis lilfordi (Lilford's wall lizard), 22058 nucleotides. NCBI's taxonomy places the organism in Eukaryota, Metazoa, Chordata, Lepidosauria, Squamata, Lacertidae. The record is from the annotation of a GenBank genome assembly.